Molecule: long non-coding RNA, 1227 nt
Organism: Panthera uncia (snow leopard)
Lineage: Eukaryota; Metazoa; Chordata; Mammalia; Carnivora; Felidae
Exons: 3
Source: RefSeq, a predicted model, not a curated record
CCCUUCCUCUCUCCCUCUCCCUCUCUUUCUUUCUUCCUUUCUUUCAUAUUUUAUUUUUAAGUAAUCUGGGGCUAGAACUUACAGCCCCAAGAUCAAGAGUCACAUGCUUCACCAGCUGAGCCAGUCAGGCACCUCUACUGCUUAUUUUUCUGUCUCUCUACACUGAGAUACCAAGAGAGCCCCAGAACAACUAUCACUGAUAGAGAAAUUCCGAGAAGAGAAAAAGAAUAAAAGGACAGAGAGGAGAAUAAAGGAGAUGAGUAAAAGGAAGAGAAACAACAACUUUGAGGGCCUUUAAAAAAUUUUUUUAAAUAAAGAACAAGUUAUAAAGAUUUUUUCUGGGGUGUCUGGCUGGCUUAGUUGGGAGAGCAUGCGACCCUUCAUCUCAGUGUUGUGAGUUCAAGCCUCAUGGUGACUGUACAGAUUACUUAAAGAAAAAAAAGAAGAUUUUGUUUCUACUGAAGAAGUCAGGAAAACUAAGAUGGACACUUCAUUUAAAGACAACUUUUGAGAGAUGAUAUUUGUGACAGGAGAAGGAAAGUGAGAGAAACAAGAGUUUCAGUAUCCUUGUCAGCAAAACAAGGAUAAUGCCAUCUACCUUAGAGUCGUUAUGAGGAUCACAUGAAAAGACAAGCAAAAUGCUUUGUGGAUUAUAAAGCCUGAAUCAACGAUGACCUUUCUCCCUGUUUCUCUACUCACCUCCAAGGUAACUGACCCGAGUGUGUCCGGAGGUGGCCAGUGAGAGCAUCGCGCCGGCGGCAGGCGUAGUUACAGAAGGGACAUUUGAAAGGCUUCUCCCCAGAGUGAAGUUUGAUGUGGCGCAGCAGGUUCCCCUUCUGGGUGAAGGAGGCGCCACACUGGUUGCAGUGGAAGGGCCUUUCACCUGCAAGAGAAAGAACAGAUCUCUGAGGACUGCAUGUGAGGAAUUUUGAAGGCUGAACCUCUUCUGUCACCCUCUGCCCCACCCUGCCUAAGGGACGGUGCUCAGAACAAUUACUGAGAGGCAGAGCUGUGGCACGCACAGGAAAUUCCUGCUUUCUAAAGAUUCUCUUGGGAAGAGCCUUACCCUGGGAAGGUGUGGAUCAGGAUGAAUGGCAGGGCAAAGGGCACCAGGCCUGGAACUCUGGGCCAAAAGAUCAUUAACCCAAAACUGAGCCUUAUAAGACCCACUCUGCCCCUGGAGCCCAAAGGCUGAGAAAGCUGAGAAGAGGCUUUUGUUUUCCUUUU